Molecule: long non-coding RNA, 656 nt
Filed under: Monodelphis domestica (gray short-tailed opossum)
Lineage: Eukaryota; Metazoa; Chordata; Mammalia; Didelphimorphia; Didelphidae
Description: lncRNA (ENSMODG00000032691.2)
Source: RNAcentral
CAAAGAUAUAUUUAGCUUCUUGCUUAGGGUUUCAUAAUCAGAACUUCAAAUUAAUACAUGUAAAGCCUGCAAAUCUUAAUGUGAUAUCUUAUUUUUUAGCUAUUAUUAUUAAAACCAAGGAAACUGGAUUUCAAAGUUAAAUAACUUGAUGGUUACACAGCAGAGCAGGAGCAAAUUCAAAAUGGCGUCAAUCCAAGGUUGAAUUCUACUUCCAGAAUUCCGCCUUAUGCUGUCUCUCAUCAAGCAGAGAAAGUCCUGAAUAAAAAAAUACUAAUAUCGUAUUUUUGUUUGCUUAUUGUUUUUUUUUAAGAUUUCAGACACAGAAAUAAAAGGAUGAAAUAAAUUCAGAAGGAAAAUAUUUGGUUGGAUUUUAACUAAAAAUAGAGGUAGAAGUCCCUUAGGAAAUGCAGAGACUAAGAAGAAAGGCAGACUGAGACUUUCCUUUGGUGGUUUUUUAGAGGUCUCCAAAGAAAUUCAAGUACUAUAGUGGAGCCCAUUACAAAGAAUUUUAGUUAAUGUUCUUCCUUUGGAUGUGGAUAGUGUUCUUUCUCAUAAGUCCCUCAGGGGGGGUGGAGUCAAGAUGGCGGCAUAGAGGCAGCAAAAGUUCAGACAUCUGAAAACCCUUCCUUAUUGAUCACAAACUGAAUGCUCUGAAG